AUAAAUUGGUCAACAAUUUUCAGCCGUAUGCUUUUCAUCAGAUGGAUUUUUAGGUUCCAACCUUGUCCUCUAACUGUAUAUACUGUGCUUCCUCUUUAUGGCAAUUGGCAAAGGGCUAAAAGACCAUCUCGCUCCCUUGUUCCGUCCAUUUUCCACCGCCUUGCUCCCACCAUUUUUACAGCCCACUGUCAGUCUCGACCACCCUUGAC
Molecule: long non-coding RNA, 209 nt
Filed under: Setaria viridis
Lineage: Eukaryota; Viridiplantae; Streptophyta; Magnoliopsida; Poales; Poaceae
Description: long non-coding RNA (SVIR_LNC010178)
Source: RNAcentral